This is a long non-coding RNA of Oncorhynchus tshawytscha (Chinook salmon), 1254 nucleotides long. Lineage: Eukaryota; Metazoa; Chordata; Actinopteri; Salmoniformes; Salmonidae. The record is from Ensembl.
AGCUGGGAGGUAUGGUUCAGCAUGGUUCAGCUGGGAGGUAUGGUUCAGCUGGGAGGUAUGGUUCAGCAUGGUUCAGCUGGGAGGUAUGGUUCAGCUGGGAGGUAUGGUUCAGCAGGGAGGUAUGGUUCAGCAGGGAGGUAUGGUUCAGCAGGGAGGUAUGGUUCAGCAGGGAGGUAUGGUUCAGCUGGGAGGUAUGGUUCAUGUUUUGUAAGGCUGCAGAAUGUCUGUGACAGAAUAUCAUGCCAUAUAGAUUGCUUUCAGUCGGCCAUCAGAUUGUUUGACCUUUUCAGCUUUGACCCCAUGUAGAGCCUGACCUCCCAGGACAUGUCGAGCCGUAGAGGACUGAGCCUCAGCCCACAGGUCCAGGUCCAGCUGUUUAUCCUGCUCCAGUAUCAGACCCUGGUCCACCACUGCAAGGCCAUGGUCCCCAGAGCAGUUAACCAGGCCAACCUUAAAAACACACCAGGAGCACCUGGUAACCCAACCUCAUACACACUAGGAGCACCAGACUAUGUUUCAAACCCCUCCGUCCCUGACUCCAAUGCUGGCACACCGUCCAACCAGAACCUCUGUACGACAAGAAGAACCAAUCAGACUCCAGAACAUUGGGAUACUAACCCAAUGAGAGGACAGAUCCAGCUAAUUAUACUCCAGAAUUCUGAGACCCCAACCAACCAGAACCUCUGUAGGACAUCAUCAGCCAAUCUCUGAUGUACUCUGGACAAUGGAAUAUCCAACCUGAGACUGCACAAUUCAGCUUUGGCCCUGAUGGACUCAAAGCAAGCUGAGGACAGCCAUACCAUAACAAAAUCCAUUGGCUAGAAAGCCAUGAUGAUGACUUCACAUCAAUGUCUGGGGUUGAUCAUAGACUGCUGAUAUAGCUGGACGGAGUGAUACUGUACUGUCACAACGUGGCCCUUUUGGGUGUAUAUCGUGGCUACCCCCCUCUCUCACUCUCUCUCCCACCAUAAGUUUUACAACGGUCAUAAAUUCUUGGGAGAAACUCUCUUCGCUGCCAUGGAGUAUUGAGGGAUAGAGCCUAUGGAGAACAAAUACAUUCUUGUUGCCAAAACUCCUAAUCCCCAAAAUUUGAGAAUUAAACAAUAUUUAUAGUUUUGAGAAUGUGGGAAUGGUCCAUGGACACUUAAGGGACAGUCAUGUCGAGUUUGUUUCAUUUGGUGAUCUCAUGAGGGACAGGAAACACACGUUACUGUGUCUUUGGUUGCGUAAACUUCUCAAUUAUGGGGUUUGCAU